This 76-nucleotide transfer RNA is filed under the name Glaciimonas sp. PCH181. RNAcentral's name for it is "tRNA-Met". It matches the Rfam family "tRNA". Rfam says of the family: Transfer RNA (tRNA) molecules are approximately 80 nucleotides in length. Their secondary structure includes four short double-helical elements and three loops (D, anti-codon, and T loops). Lineage: Bacteria; Pseudomonadati; Pseudomonadota; Betaproteobacteria; Burkholderiales; Oxalobacteraceae. The record is from RNAcentral.
CGCAGGGUAGAGAGGUGGUCAUCUCGCCAGGCUCAUAACCUGGAGGUCGCUGGUUCGAGUCCAGCCUUUGCAACCA